This 468-nucleotide ribosomal RNA is filed under the name uncultured bacterium. RNAcentral describes it as "partial 16S ribosomal RNA". It matches the Rfam family "Bacterial small subunit ribosomal RNA", at positions 28 to 508 of the family's 1533-position model. The record is from RNAcentral.
GACGAACGCUGGCGGCGUGCUUAACACAUGCAAGUCGAACGGAAAGGCCUCUUUCGGGGGGUACUCGAGUGGCGAACGGGUGAGUAACACGUGAGUAACCUGCCCUUGACUUUGGGAUAACUUCAGGAAACUGGGGCUAAUACCGGAUAGGAGCUCCUGCUGCAUGGUGGGGGUUGGAAAGUUUCGGCGGUUGGGGAUGGACUCGCGGCUUAUCAGCUUGUUGGUGGGGUAGUGGCUUACCAAGGCUUUGACGGGUAGCCGGCCCGAGAGGGUGACCGGCCACAUUGGGACGGAGAUACGGCCCAGACUCCUACGGGAGGCAGCAGUGGGGAAUAUUGCACAAUGGGUGGAAGCCUGAUGCAGCAACGCCGUGUGCGGGAUGACGGCCUUCGGGUUGUAAACCGCUUUCGCUCAUGACGAAGCUUUGUGUGACGGUAGUGGGUAAAGAAGCACCGGCUAACUACGUGC